GGGUUGUGAGGUUAAGCGACUAAGCGUACACGGUGGAUGCCCUGGCAGUCAGAGGCGAUGAAGGACGUGCUAAUCUGCGAUAAGCGUCGGUAAGGUGAUAUGAACCGUUAUAACCGGCGAUUUCCGAAUGGGGAAACCCAGUGUGAUUCGUCACACUAUCAUUAACUGAAUCCAUAGGUUAAUGAGGCGAACCGGGGGAACUGAAACAUCUAAGUACCCCGAGGAAAAGAAAUCAACCGAGAUUCCCCCAGUAGCGGCGAGCGAACGGGGAGGAGCCCAGAGCCUGAAUCAGUGUGUGUGUUAGUGGAAGCGUCUGGAAAGGCGCGCGAUACAGGGUGACAGCCCCGUACACAAAAAUGCACAUACUGUGAGCUCGAUGAGUAGGGCGGGACACGUGGUAUCCUGUCUGAAUAUGGGGGGACCAUCCUCCAAGGCUAAAUACUCCUGACUGACCGAUAGUGAACCAGUACCGUGAGGGAAAGGCGAAAAGAACCCCGGCGAGGGGAGUGAAAAAGAACCUGAAACCGUGUACGUACAAGCAGUGGGAGCCUCUU
RNAcentral lists this ribosomal RNA (554 nucleotides) under Escherichia coli. RNAcentral's name for it is "partial 23S ribosomal RNA". It matches the Rfam family "Bacterial large subunit ribosomal RNA", at positions 1 to 585 of the family's 2925-position model. Lineage: Bacteria; Pseudomonadati; Pseudomonadota; Gammaproteobacteria; Enterobacterales; Enterobacteriaceae. The record is from RNAcentral.